ACAACGACUCUCGGCAACGGAUAUCUCGGCUCUCGCAUCGAUGAAGAACGUAGCGAAAUGCGAUACUUGGUGUGAAUUGCAGAAUCCCGUGAACCAUCGAGUCUUUGAACGCAAGUUGCGCCCCAAGCCUUUAGGCCGAGGGCACGUCUGCCUGGGUGUCACG
This 163-nucleotide ribosomal RNA is filed under the name Serjania guerrerensis. RNAcentral's name for it is "Balsas guerrerensis 5.8S ribosomal RNA". It matches the Rfam family "5.8S ribosomal RNA". Rfam says of the family: 5.8S ribosomal RNA (5.8S rRNA) is a component of the large subunit of the eukaryotic ribosome. The record is from RNAcentral. RNAcentral also lists the same sequence under 1 other name. Lineage: Eukaryota; Viridiplantae; Streptophyta; Magnoliopsida; Sapindales; Sapindaceae.